GCCCCAGUGGCCUAAUGGAUAAGGCACUGGCCUCCUAAGCCAGGGAUUGUGGGUUCAAGUCCAAUCUGGGGUG
This 73-nucleotide transfer RNA is filed under the name Perca flavescens (yellow perch). It matches the Rfam family "tRNA". From Rfam's summary of the family: Transfer RNA (tRNA) molecules are approximately 80 nucleotides in length. Their secondary structure includes four short double-helical elements and three loops (D, anti-codon, and T loops). RNAcentral also lists the same sequence under 1 other name. The record is from Rfam by way of RNAcentral. Lineage: Eukaryota; Metazoa; Chordata; Actinopteri; Perciformes; Percidae.